Molecule: non-coding RNA, 1340 nt
Organism: Phalacrocorax carbo (great cormorant)
Lineage: Eukaryota; Metazoa; Chordata; Aves; Suliformes; Phalacrocoracidae
Source: RefSeq, a predicted model, not a curated record
ACGGCUCCGCCGCCCGCCCCGCCCCACCCUGCGCGCGCGUCAUCAGCGCGCGGCGGCCGUUGGGUGCCAGUGCGCAGGCGCGGAGCUCCCGCCGCCGGACCCGCUCGCUGGGAGUUUCUCUCAAGGCGUCCCAGCCAGGGUGUCCGUUGGUCGUUGUCUGUCGGUCCGUUCCUGAACGAUGGGCUUCACCACAGCUUUAGCCGCGCUCUGAGGUCCGCCGCCCCGAGCGGGGCCCGGGACGGGGCUGUGGCAUUAAUCCGCCUCCAUCUCGCCUUCAGCGGCCGAAGGGACGGAGACCGCGGGGCCUGUGGCAAAGGGCCGGUCGUCGGGGAAACCGCCCGGAUUUAAAAAACCGCGUCCCCAGACGUUAUGAGUGAUUAACGCUGUUGUAGUGUCUGGUCUUCAAGAUGUGCGUGUUCCUGCAGUCCUUAGAAAACAGCCAAGCUGGUAACGCGAGGAAGGCAGUUAGUGCUGUAGUCAGUAAUGCGGCAAAAGCUCCAAAAUUUGUCAGAAGGACAUCCUUUCCUCUUGUUCUCAAGUGUUGCCUUUGGAAAAGAAGACAGAAAAUGUUUACUGCUACUAUAUACAUGUGAUCUCAUCCCAUAUAUUGAGACUCCUACAACGCAGAGGAAAUCCAGAGUACUGAAAAGCUUAUAGGUCACAUCUGAUCUGUAAGAGAUGAUAGCCCAUUUCAUAAAAUUGAGGGAUAAUUUUCUCUUUUGAAACCUGGAUUAUUUUGAAUAAUUCGGUUCAGUGUUGUGCUACCCAUCUCGCAGUCCACAGUUCUGCUAGUCUUCAUCACGCUGCUGCUGGUGUACUGGUGGAAGAAGUAUCUAUGAAGCGCUGAGAUAAUGUGACCUGGAUUUCUGCUGCCUAAGAAUUGAAUCUGCCCAGGUUUGCAGCUCUGACAAACCAGUAUCAUCCCCGUUCCUGGAUUCUCCAAAGCGCCGUUGUGACUCAGGGGUAACUGAAUGAAUACGUACAUUUGGUUACAAACAUGAGAUGAGAAAAUCUGACUGUGCACAUGCUGCAUUGCCAGCGGUAACCAUGUUAGAACAGCAUGUCUUGAUGCAAUUACAGAAAAGGUGGUAUCAGCCCAAGGAUAAGCGGGAUAAAUAAUAAGUGAUCAAGUUAAACCAUUAAAUCAGAACAGGUCUUUUCAAUUAUUUCUCCUGCUUAUUCAGCUUCCAAGUAUAUGUUACACACCAGAAAUUAAUCUUGCCUGCUUGCUGCCUUGAAAGGCUGAAAGUCAUAGUCUUUUCGAAGCAUUUUUGUUUUUCUAUAUACAUACAUAUAUAUAUGGAUGACCUCUUCUGAGACUAAUAAAUCUUGAAGUGAGA